This 161-nucleotide ribosomal RNA is filed under the name Cytospora ribis. Its description in RNAcentral is "5.8S ribosomal RNA". It matches the Rfam family "5.8S ribosomal RNA". Rfam says of the family: 5.8S ribosomal RNA (5.8S rRNA) is a component of the large subunit of the eukaryotic ribosome. It is transcribed by RNA polymerase I as part of the 45S precursor that also contains 18S and 28S rRNA. Lineage: Eukaryota; Fungi; Ascomycota; Sordariomycetes; Diaporthales; Cytosporaceae. The record is from RNAcentral.
UCAAAACUUUCAACAACGGAUCUCUUGGUUCUGGCAUCGAUGAAGAACGCAGCGAAAUGCGAUAAGUAAUGUGAAUUGCAGAAUUCAGUGAAUCAUCGAAUCUUUGAACGCACAUUGCGCCCUCUGGUAUUCCAGAGGGCAUGCCUGUUCGAGCGUCAAUU